GGGUUGUGAGGUUAAGCGACUAAGCGUACACGGUGGAUGCCCUGGCAGUCAGAGGCGAUGAAGGACGUGCUAAUCUGCGAUAAGCGUCGGUAAGGUGAUAUGAACCGUUAUAACCGGCGAUUUCCGAAUGGGGAAACCCAGUGUGUUUCGACACACUAUCAUUAACUGAAUCCAUAGGUUAAUGAGGCGAACCGGGGGAACUGAAACAUCUAAGUACCCCGAGGAAAAGAAAUCAACCGAGAUUCCCCCAGUAGCGGCGAGCGAACGGGGAGGAGCCCAGAGCCUGAAUCAGUGUGUGUGUUAGUGGAAGCGUCUGGAAAGGCGCGCGAUACAGGGUGACAGCCCCGUACACAAAAAUGCACAUACUGUGAGCUCGAUGAGUAGGGCGGGACACGUGGUAUCCUGUCUGAAUAUGGGGGGACCAUCCUCCAAGGCUAAAUACUCCUGACUGACCGAUAGUGAACCAGUACCGUGAGGGAAAGGCGAAAAGAACCCCGGCGAGGGGAGUGAAAAAGAACCUGAAACCGUGUACGUACAAGCAGUGGGAGCCUCUUUUAUGGGGUGACUGCGUACCUUUUGUAUAAUGGGUCAGCGACUUAUAUUCUGUAGCAAGGUUAACCGAAUAGGGGAGCCGAAGGGAAACCGAGUCUUAACUGGGCGUUAAGUUGCAGGGUAUAGACCCGAAACCCGGUGAUCUAGCCAUGGGCAGGUUGAAGGUUGGGUAACACUAACUGGAGGACCGAACCGACUAAUGUUGAAAAAUUAGCGGAUGACUUGUGGCUGGGGGUGAAAGGCCAAUCAAACCGGGAGAUAGCUGGUUCUCCCCGAAAGCUAUUUAGGUAGCGCCUCGUGAACUCAUCUCCGGGGGUAGAGCACUGUUUCGGCAAGGGGGUCAUCCCGACUUACCAACCCGAUGCAAACUGCGAAUACCGGAGAAUGUUAUCACGGGAGACACACGGCGGGUGCUAACGUCCGUCGUGAAGAGGGAAACAACCCAGACCGCCAGCUAAGGUCCCAAAGUCAUGGUUAAGUGGGAAACGAUGUGGGAAGGCCCAGACAGCCAGGAUGUUGGCUUAGAAGCAGCCAUCAUUUAAAGAAAGCGUAAUAGCUCACUGGUCGAGUCGGCCUGCGCGGAAGAUGUAACGGGGCUAAACCAUGCACCGAAGCUGCGGCAGCGACACUAUGUGUUGUUGGGUAGGGGAGCGUUCUGUAAGCCUGUGAAGGUGUGCUGUGAGGCAUGCUGGAGGUAUCAGAAGUGCGAAUGCUGACAUAAGUAACGAUAAAGCGGGUGAAAAGCCCGCUCGCCGGAAGACCAAGGGUUCCUGUCCAACGUUAAUCGGGGCAGGGUGAGUCGACCCCUAAGGCGAGGCCGAAAGGCGUAGUCGAUGGGAAACAGGUUAAUAUUCCUGUACUUGGUGUUACUGCGAAGGGGGGACGGAGAAGGCUAUGUUGGCCGGGCGACGGUUGUCCCGGUUUAAGCGUGUAGGCUGGUUUUCCAGGCAAAUCCGGAAAAUCAAGGCUGAGGCGUGAUGACGAGGCACUACGGUGCUGAAGCAACAAAUGCCCUGCUUCCAGGAAAAGCCUCUAAGCAUCAGGUAACAUCAAAUCGUACCCCAAACCGACACAGGUGGUCAGGUAGAGAAUACCAAGGCGCUUGAGAGAACUCGGGUGAAGGAACUAGGCAAAAUGGUGCCGUAACUUCGGGAGAAGGCACGCUGAUAUGUAGGUGAAGUCCCUCGCGGAUGGAGCUGAAAUCAGUCGAAGAUACCAGCUGGCUGCAACUGUUUAUUAAAAACACAGCACUGUGCAAACACGAAAGUGGACGUAUACGGUGUGACGCCUGCCCGGUGCCGGAAGGUUAAUUGAUGGGGUCAGCGCAAGCGAAGCUCUUGAUCGAAGCCCCGGUAAACGGCGGCCGUAACUAUAACGGUCCUAAGGUAGCGAAAUUCCUUGUCGGGUAAGUUCCGACCUGCACGAAUGGCGUAAUGAUGGCCAGGCUGUCUCCACCCGAGACUCAGUGAAAUUGAACUCGCUGUGAAGAUGCAGUGUACCCGCGGCAAGACGGAAAGACCCCGUGAACCUUUACUAUAGCUUGACACUGAACAUUGAGCCUUGAUGUGUAGGAUAGGUGGGAGGCUUAGAAGUGUGGACGCCAGUCUGCAUGGAGCCGACCUUGAAAUACCACCCUUUAAUGUUUGAUGUUCUAACGUGGACCCGUGAUCCGGGUUGCGGACAGUGUCUGGUGGGUAGUUUGACUGGGGCGGUCUCCUCCUAAAGAGUAACGGAGGAGCACGAAGGUUGGCUAAUCCUGGUCGGACAUCAGGAGGUUAGUGCAAUGGCAUAAGCCAGCUUGACUGCGAGCGUGACGGCGCGAGCAGGUGCGAAAGCAGGUCAUAGUGAUCCGGUGGUUCUGAAUGGAAGGGCCAUCGCUCAACGGAUAAAAGGUACUCCGGGGAUAACAGGCUGAUACCGCCCAAGAGUUCAUAUCGACGGCGGUGUUUGGCACCUCGAUGUCGGCUCAUCACAUCCUGGGGCUGAAGUAGGUCCCAAGGGUAUGGCUGUUCGCCAUUUAAAGUGGUACGCGAGCUGGGUUUAGAACGUCGUGAGACAGUUCGGUCCCUAUCUGCCGUGGGCGCUGGAGAACUGAGGGGGGCUGCUCCUAGUACGAGAGGACCGGAGUGGACGCAUCACUGGUGUUCGGGUUGUCAUGCCAAUGGCACUGCCCGGUAGCUAAAUGCGGAAGAGAUAAGUGCUGAAAGCAUCUAAGCACGAAACUUGCCCCGAGAUGAGUUCUCCCUGACCCUUUAAGGGUCCUGAAGGAACGUUGAAGACGACGACGUUGAUAGGCCGGGUGUGUAAGCGCAGCGAUGCGUUGAGCUAACCGGUACUAAUGAACCGUGAGGCUUAACCUUACAACGCCGAAGCUGUU
This 2929-nucleotide ribosomal RNA is filed under the name Escherichia coli. Its description in RNAcentral is "bacterial LSU rRNA". It matches the Rfam family "Bacterial large subunit ribosomal RNA". The record is from RNAcentral. Lineage: Bacteria; Pseudomonadati; Pseudomonadota; Gammaproteobacteria; Enterobacterales; Enterobacteriaceae.